UAAACUAGGAUUAGAUACCCUAUUAUUAUAAGAGUAAAUUUGGAUUCCUGAGAAGUAUUAGUAUAUUCUUGAAAUUUAAAGAAUUUGGCGGUGUUUUAGUCUAUUCAGAGGAACCUGUCCUGUAAUUGAUAAUCCACGAUUAAUUGAACUUUUUCUUUAAGUUUGUAUAUCGUCGUUAUUUGAACAUCUUUAGAGGGGAAAAUGUUCAAGAGUUUUGAAUUGAACAUAAAUCAGAUCAAGGUGCAGUUUAUGGAAAAGGAGAGAUGGGUUACAAUGAAGAUAUUUAUAUGGUUUAUAUAGUGAGAUUUUUAUAAUAAAAAGGAUUUGAUAGUAAAGAGAAUAAUUUAAUUUUCUUGAUUUUAGCUCUAGGAUAUGCACAUAUCGCCCGUCGCUCCCAUCACAAGGUGGGAUAAGUCGUAACAAAGUAGGUGUACCGGAAGGUGUACCUGGAAAGACAAAUUAGAGCUUGGUAAAAGUAUUUUAUUUACAUUAAAAAGUUGACUGUGGAAUUCAGUUUAAUUUGAUUAUUAAAUUAUUAUUAGUAUAGUUUUAUAAAAAAGAAUUGUUUGUUUAAGUAAAUGUAUUGAAAGAAUGGUAAUAAUUAUAGUUUAUUAGUACAGUGAUGGGAUAUUUUAAUAUUAUAGAAGAAUAUUUUAUUUAUGGUACCUUGUGUAUCAGGGUUUAUUAAAAAAGGGUUUUAAAUAAGAAUUUCUCGAAUUUAAGAGGGCUAGGAAAGUUUAUAUUUUAAUGUGGUAUAAUUAUUUAGAAUACUUUUCUUGUAACGAAAUAUUAGUCGUUCUUUAAUAUAUCUAGUUUUUUAAGAAAUUAAUUUAAUUAAGCUGGCUUGGGAAUUUAUUUGAUUAUAAAAUUUAUUUUGGGGCCAAGUAAUGUUUAAAGGGAUAAGCUUUUAAACAAAUUUUUAAAACAUUGUUUUGGUUUAAGAUGAAAUAGGAAUAGAAGUUUUCAUUUUAGGGAGUGAGUUGUAUCAGGAUUUUAAUUAAGGCGAUUUAUAUUUGUUUAGAUUUUUUAUUAAGAAGGAAAAUUAAAUUUUAGUUUUUUCGGUAUAAUGAUAUAAUUAGUAUAAUUUUUGUUUAAGUAUUUGUUAAUGAACGAUUAGAUUAAGGAACUCGGCAAAUUGGUUCUCUGCCUGUUUAUUAAAAACAUCGCCUCUUGUUAAUAAUUUGAGGUCUGGCCUGCCCAAUGAUAUGUUUAAUGGCCGCGGUACUCUGACCGUGCAAAGGUAGCAUAAUCAUUAGUUUUUUAAUUGAAAGCUGGAAUGAACGGUCGGACGAGGGAACAGCUGUCUUUAUUUAAUAAUUAGAAUUUUAUUUUUUAGUAAGAGAGCUAAAAUGAUUUUGAGGGACGAGAAGACCCUAUAGAAUUUUAUAAAGCUUUUUAGGUUAAUUUUUUGGGUUUUUUAUAGUUGAUACUAGAAUAAUUUAUUUUGUUGGGGUGAUAGAAAAAUUUAAAGAACUUUUUUUUAAUUAUAUCACUUGUAUGUGAAUAUUUGAUCCAUGUUUUGUGAUUAAAAGAUUAAAUUACCUUAGGGAUAACAGCGUAAUUGGUUUGGAGAGUUCAUAUCGAUAAACUAGUUUGCGACCUCGAUGUUGGAUUAAAAUGAACUUAUGGUGUAGGGGCUAUAAGGUUAAGUCUGUUCGACUUUUAAAAUUUUACAUGAUCUGAGUUCAAAACCGGAGA
This 1698-nucleotide ribosomal RNA is filed under the name Serrognathus sp. NLG-2014. RNAcentral describes it as "partial 16S ribosomal RNA". The stretch from base 1549 to 1698 matches the Rfam family "Archaeal large subunit ribosomal RNA", at positions 2544 to 2695 of the family's 2987-position model. Lineage: Eukaryota; Metazoa; Arthropoda; Insecta; Coleoptera; Lucanidae. The record is from RNAcentral.